CCCUUAGAGUUUGAUCCUGGCUCAGGAUGAACGCUAGCGGCAGGCUUAAUACAUGCAAGUCGUGGGGCAGCAGGUCUGUAGCAAUACAGAUGCUGGCGACCGGCAAACGGGUGCGGAACACGUACACAACCUUCCUUUAAGUGGGGGAUAGCCCGGCGAAAGCCGGAUUAAUACCCCGUAAAAUAUUGAAAAGGCAUCUUUUUAAUAUUAAAGCUCCGGCGCUUAAUGAUGGGUGUGCGCCUGAUUAGGUAGUUGGCGGGGUAACGGCCCACCAAGCCUGCGAUCAGUAACUGGUGUGAGAGCACGACCAGUCACACGGGCACUGAGACACGGGCCCGACUCCUACGGGAGGCAGCAGUAAGGAAUAUUGGUCAAUGGACGCAAGUCUGAACCAGCCAUGCCGCGUGGAGGAUGAAGGUCCUCUGGAUUGUAAACUUCUUUUAUUUGGGAAGAAACCCAUGUUUUCUAAUGUGGUUGACGGUACCAGAUGAAUAAGCACCGGCUAACUCCGUGCCAGCAGCCGCGGUAAUACGGAGGGUGCAAGCGUUAUCCGGAUUCACUGGGUUUAAAGGGUGCGUAGGCGGGUUGGUAAGUCCGUGGUGAAAUCUCCAAGCUUAACUUGGAAACUGCCGUGGAUACUAUCAAUCUUGAAUGUCGUGGAGGUAAGCGGAAUAUGUCAUGUAGCGGUGAAAUGCUUAGAGAUGACAUAGAACACCAAUUGCGUAGGCAGCUUACUACACGAAUAUUGACGCUGAGGCACGAAAGCGUGGGGAGCAAACAGAUUAGAUACCCUGGUAGUCCACGCCGUAAACGAUGGAAGCUAGCCGUUGGAGAGCUUGCUCUUCAGUGGCGCAGCUAACGCAUAAGCUUCCCGCC
RNAcentral lists this ribosomal RNA (876 nucleotides) under uncultured bacterium. RNAcentral describes it as "bacterial SSU rRNA". It matches the Rfam family "Bacterial small subunit ribosomal RNA", at positions 9 to 873 of the family's 1533-position model. The record is from RNAcentral.